This is a long non-coding RNA of Dromaius novaehollandiae (emu), 404 nucleotides long. RefSeq lists it as uncharacterized. The record is from RefSeq and is a predicted model, not a curated record. NCBI's taxonomy places the organism in Eukaryota, Metazoa, Chordata, Aves, Casuariiformes, Dromaiidae. The transcript has 3 exons.
AUUCUUGGAGCCUGGAAGACAGAGGAAAAUACUUGAAACAGACAUUUCCAACUGUAACAUUGCUCCCCUACCCUCAGUGGGACAGGCUGAGUGUCACUACAGGAUUAUUUGAUGUCCCUGAAGGAAAUCAUCUCCAUCACUGCAUUACAAAGCCACUUUCCUCUGCACUGGCAUACUAUGCAGGAAAUCAUCAGAUGAUUUUCUCAUUUUGAAUGCAAGCACCCACUUCAGUACCAAGAGACACUCUUAAUAAUGGCUCUUUAUUCAACAGAAAUCGCAGGACAGAUAACCAAGCGAGCUACUUAUACAAAAGGAAAAAGAAAGUAAUGACUUCAGUGUUAAUGAUAGAUAUCAGGAGUCCAUCACAGAUGCACACACAAAAAAAAGAAUAAAUUCUUAUCUUU